GCCCGGAUGGUGGAAUGGUAGACACAGGGGACUUAAAAUCCCCCGACUAUUGCAGUCGUGCUGGUUCAAGUCCAGUUCCGGGCACCA
Molecule: transfer RNA, 87 nt
Filed under: Sulfurovaceae bacterium
Lineage: Bacteria; Pseudomonadati; Campylobacterota; Epsilonproteobacteria; Campylobacterales; Sulfurovaceae
Also listed under: 1 other name
Description: tRNA-Leu
Rfam family: tRNA
About the family: Transfer RNA (tRNA) molecules are approximately 80 nucleotides in length. Their secondary structure includes four short double-helical elements and three loops (D, anti-codon, and T loops).
Source: RNAcentral